GACGAACGCUGGCGGCGUGCUUAACACAUGCAAGUCGAACGGAAAGGCCCUGCUUUUGUGGGGUGCUCGAGUGGCGAACGGGUGAGUAACACGUGAGUAACCUGCCCUUGACUUUGGGAUAACUUCAGGAAACUGGGGCUAAUACCGGAUAGGAGCUCCUGCUGCAUGGUGGGGGUUGGAAAGUUUCGGCGGUUGGGGAUGGACUCGCGGCUUAUCAGCUUGUUGGUGGGGUAGUGGCUUACCAAGGCUUUGACGGGUAGCCGGCCUGAGAGGGUGACCGGCCACAUUGGGACUGAGAUACGGCCCAGACUCCUACGGGAGGCAGCAGUGGGGAAUAGUGCACAAUGGGCGGAAGCCUGAUGCAGCAACGCCGCGUGCGGGAUGACGGCCUUCGGGUUGUAAACCGCUUUCGCCUGUGACGAAGCGUGAGUGACGGUAAUGGGUAAAGAAGCACGGGCUAACUACGUG
RNAcentral lists this ribosomal RNA (468 nucleotides) under uncultured bacterium. RNAcentral describes it as "partial 16S ribosomal RNA". It matches the Rfam family "Bacterial small subunit ribosomal RNA", at positions 28 to 507 of the family's 1533-position model. The record is from RNAcentral.